Molecule: ribosomal RNA, 253 nt
Filed under: uncultured bacterium
Lineage: Bacteria
Description: partial 16S ribosomal RNA
Rfam family: Bacterial small subunit ribosomal RNA
Source: RNAcentral
UACGGAAUGUGCAAACGUUAUUCGGAAUCACUGGGCUUAAAGAGUCCGUAGGCGGCCCGUUAGGUGAGGUGUGAAAUCCCCCGGCUCAACCGAGGAAUUGCGCUUCAAACCGGCAGGCUCGAGGGAGAUAGAGGUGGACGGAACUGAUGGUGGAGCGGUGAAAUGCGUUGAUAUCAUCAGGAACACCGGAGGCGAAGGCGGUCCACUGGGUCUUUUCUGACGCUGAGGGACGAAAGCUAGGGGAGCGAACGGG